AACGUAGGGGACAAGCGUUAUCCGGAUUUACUGGGCGUAAAGCGCCCGUAGGCGGCCUGAUAAGUUGGACGUGAAAGCUCCCGGCUUAACUGGGAGAGGCCGUUCAAAACUGUGAGGCUAGAGUGAGGCAGAGGAGCGCGGAAUUCCCGGUGUAGUGGUGGAAUGCGUAGAGAUCGAGAGGAACACCUGCGGCGAAGGCGGGUUGCUGGGCUGACACUGACGCUGAGGCGCGAAAGCUAGGGGAGCGAACGGG
Molecule: ribosomal RNA, 253 nt
Filed under: uncultured bacterium
Lineage: Bacteria
Description: partial 16S ribosomal RNA
Rfam family: Bacterial small subunit ribosomal RNA
Source: RNAcentral